AGUGAACGCUGGCGGUAGGCCUAACACAUGCGAGUCGAACGGCAGCACAGUAAGAGCUUGCUCUUACGGGUGGCGAGUGGCGGACGGGUGCGGAAUACAUCGGAAUCUACUUUUUCGUGGGGGAUAACGUAGGGAAACUUACGCUAAUACCGCAUACGACCUACGGGUGAAAGCAGGGGAUCUUCGGCCCUUGCGCGAUUGAAUGAGCCGAUGUCGGAUUAGCUAGGUGGCGGGGUAAAGGCCCACCAAGGCGACGAUCCGUAGCUGGUCUGAGAGGAUGAUCAGCCACACUGGAACUGAGACACGGUCCAGACUCCUACGGGAGGCAGCAGUGGGGAAUAUUGGACAAUGGGCGCAAGCCUGAUCCAGCCAUACCGCGUGGGUGAAGAAGGCCUUCGGGUUGUAAAGCCCUUUUGUUGGGAAAGAAAAGCAGCAGGUUAAUACCCCGCUGUUCUGACGGUACCCAAAGAAUAAGCACCGGCUAACUUCGUG
RNAcentral lists this ribosomal RNA (492 nucleotides) under uncultured bacterium. RNAcentral describes it as "partial 16S ribosomal RNA". It matches the Rfam family "Bacterial small subunit ribosomal RNA", at positions 29 to 507 of the family's 1533-position model. The record is from RNAcentral.